RNAcentral lists this ribosomal RNA (496 nucleotides) under uncultured bacterium. Its description in RNAcentral is "partial 16S ribosomal RNA". It matches the Rfam family "Bacterial small subunit ribosomal RNA", at positions 28 to 506 of the family's 1533-position model. The record is from RNAcentral.
GAUGAACGCUGGCGGCGUGCCUAAUACAUGCAAGUCGAGCGAACGGACGAGAAGCUUGCUUCUCUGAUGUUAGCGGCGGACGGGUGAGUAACACGUGGAUAACCUACCUAUAAGACUGGGAUAACUUCGGGAAACCGGAGCUAAUACCGGAUAAUAUUUUGAACCGCAUGGUUCAAAAGUAAAAGACGGUCUUGCUGUCACUUAUAGAUGGAUCCGCGCUGCAUUAGCUAGUUGGUAAGGUAACGGCUUACCAAGGCAACGAUGCAUAGCCGACCUGAGAGGGUGAUCGGCCACACUGGAACUGAGACACGGUCCAGACUCCUACGGGAGGCAGCAGUAGGGAAUCUUCCGAAAUGGGCGAAAGCCUGACGGAGCAACGCCGCGUGAGUGAUGAAGGUCUUCGGAUCGUAAAACUCUGUUAUUAGGGAAGAACAUAUGUGUAAGUAACUGUGCACAUCUUGACGGUACCUAAUCAGAAAGCCACGGCUAACUACGU